UAAGGGGUCAUCCAUAAUUGUCAACCAUUUUCCAAAGUGAACAAAACGUACACUUGGGGGGAGGGGGUUAAAAAAUCAACAUUUUUACCGUACGCUUUUUUUUUAUUUCCGGAAUUUUUUUCGUUUCAACAUUAUUACAGCAAUGAAGCCAUUUAUCAUCUAUGCGUUUGAAAAUAACGUGAAAUUGUACAUUAGCAAAACAACAAAAUGGUAUCUUUAUACUCUUUAUUCUGACGAAACACAAGCAUCACAGUUAGGUGUCAUCAAAUAAAACAGUCAGAUAUGUUUAAGUUUAUUUUCAGUGCAAAUUUCUAUAUUAAACUAAACUAUAAUAGACAGGAUCUUCUUUUAAUUAAGAAUGAUUGAUUCUUGUCUUGAAAUCUGAAAUUGGUUGAUCUACAAUUUUUGAGGGAGGGUAGGGGGUCUGAAAAUUUGUAUGUUUUG
This 444-nucleotide long non-coding RNA is filed under the name Mytilus galloprovincialis (Mediterranean mussel). The record is from RNAcentral. Lineage: Eukaryota; Metazoa; Mollusca; Bivalvia; Mytilida; Mytilidae.